Molecule: non-coding RNA, 30 nt
Filed under: Mus musculus (house mouse)
Lineage: Eukaryota; Metazoa; Chordata; Mammalia; Rodentia; Muridae
Source: RNAcentral
UAAAAAAGAAAAGUGAACUUGAAUCUGUUC